AUUGAACGCUGGCGGCAUGCUUUACACAUGCAAGUCGAACGGUAACAGGGAGCUUGCUCCGCUGACGAGUGGCGAACGGGUGAGUAAUGCAUCGGAACGUACCCAGUCGUGGGGGAUAACGUAGCGAAAGUUACGCUAAUACCGCAUACGUCCUGAGGGAGAAAGCGGGGGACCGUAAGGCCUCGCGCGAUUGGAGCGGCCGAUGUCGGAUUAGCUAGUUGGUAGGGUAAAGGCCUACCAAGGCGACGAUCCGUAGCGGGUCUGAGAGGAUGAUCCGCCACACUGGGACUGAGACACGGCCCAGACUCCUACGGGAGGCAGCAGUGGGGAAUUUUGGACAAUGGGCGAAAGCCUGAUCCAGCCAUGCCGCGUGAGUGAAGAAGGCCUUCGGGUUGUAAAGCUCUUUCAGGUGGAAGAAACUUACCGGGUGAAUACCCGGAGGCUGACGGUACCAUCAGAAGAAGCACCGGCUAACUACGUGCCAGCAGCCGCGGUAAU
RNAcentral lists this ribosomal RNA (498 nucleotides) under uncultured bacterium. RNAcentral's name for it is "bacterial SSU rRNA". It matches the Rfam family "Bacterial small subunit ribosomal RNA", at positions 29 to 524 of the family's 1533-position model. The record is from RNAcentral.